RNAcentral lists this ribosomal RNA (433 nucleotides) under uncultured bacterium. Its description in RNAcentral is "partial 16S ribosomal RNA". It matches the Rfam family "Bacterial small subunit ribosomal RNA", at positions 29 to 507 of the family's 1533-position model. The record is from RNAcentral.
AACGAACGCUGGCGGCAUGCCUAACACAUGCAAGUCGAACGAGACCUUCGGGUCUAGUGGCGCACGGGUGCGUAACGCGUGGGAACCUGCCCUUAGGUUCGGAAUAACUCCCCGAAAGGGGUGCUAAUACCGGAUAAUGUCUUCGGACCAAAGAUUUAUCGCCUUUGGAUGGGCCCGCGUUGGAUUAGCUAGUUGGUAGGGUAAAAGCCUACCAAGGCGACGAUCCAUAGCUGGUCUGAGAGGAUGAUCAGCCACACUGGGACUGAGACACGGCCCAGACUCCUACGGGAGGCAGCAGUGGGGAAUAUUGGACAAUGGGCGAAAGCCUGAACCAGCAAUGCAGCGUGAGUGAUGAAGGCCUUAGGGUUGUAAAGCUCUUUUACCCGGGAUGAUAAUGACAGUACCGGGAGAAUAAGCUCCGGCUAACUCCGUG